UACAUGGCUUGGACUUUCUCACC
Molecule: non-coding RNA, 23 nt
Filed under: Cricetulus griseus (Chinese hamster)
Lineage: Eukaryota; Metazoa; Chordata; Mammalia; Rodentia; Cricetidae
Source: RNAcentral